AGAGUUUGAUCCUGGCUCAGAUUGAACGCUGGCGGCAUGCUUUACACAUGCAAGUCGAACGGUAACGCGGGGGCAACCCUGGCGACGAGUGGCGAACGGGUGAGUAAUACAUCGGAACAUGUCCUGGAGUGGGGGAUAGCUCGGCGAAAGCCGGAUUAAUACCGCAUACGCUAUGAGGAGGAAAGCGGGGGACCUGGUAACGGGCCUCGCGCUGCGGGAGUGGCCGAUGUCGGAUUAGCUAGUUGGUGAGGUAAAGGCUCACCAAGGCGACGAUCCGUAGCUGGUCUGAGAGGAUGAUCAGCCACACUGGGACUGAGACACGGCCCAGACUCCUACGGGAGGCAGCAGUGGGGAAUUUUGGACAAUGGGGGCAACCCUGAUCCAGCCAUGCCGCGUGAGUGAAGAAGGCCUUCGGGUUGUAAAGCUCUUUCGGACGGAACGAAAUGGUUACGGAUAAUACCCGUGACUGAUGACGGUACUGUAAGAGAGCCC
RNAcentral lists this ribosomal RNA (492 nucleotides) under uncultured Denitratisoma sp. RNAcentral describes it as "bacterial SSU rRNA". It matches the Rfam family "Bacterial small subunit ribosomal RNA", at positions 8 to 493 of the family's 1533-position model. Lineage: Bacteria; Pseudomonadati; Pseudomonadota; Betaproteobacteria; Nitrosomonadales; Sterolibacteriaceae. The record is from RNAcentral.